GACGAACGCUGGCGGCGUGCUUAACACAUGCAAGUCGAACGGAAAGGCCCUGCUUUUGUGGGGUGCUCGAGUGGCGAACGGGUGAGUAACACGUGAGUAACCGGCCCUUGACUUUGGGAUAACUUCAGGAAACUGGGGCUAAUACCGGAUAGGAGCUCCUGCUGCAUGGUGGGGGUUGGAAAGUUUCGGCGGUUGGGGAUGGACUCGCGGCUUAUCAGCUUGUUGGUGGGGUAGUGGCUUACCAAGGCUUUGACGGGUAGCCGGCCUGAGAGGGUGACCGGCCACAUUGGGACUGAGAUACGGCCCAGACUCCUACGGGGGGCAGCAGUGGGGAGUAUUGCACAAUGGGCGGAAGCCUGAUGCAGCGACGCCGCGUGCGGGAUGACGGCCUUCGGGUUGUAAACCGCUUUAGCCUGUGACGAAGCGUGAGUGACGGUAAUGGGUAAAGAAGCACCGGCUAACUACGUG
Molecule: ribosomal RNA, 468 nt
Filed under: uncultured bacterium
Lineage: Bacteria
Description: partial 16S ribosomal RNA
Rfam family: Bacterial small subunit ribosomal RNA
Source: RNAcentral